UGAGGAAUAUUGGUCAAUGGACGAGAGUCUGAACCAGCCAAGUAGCGUGCAGGAUGACGGCCCUAUGGGUUGUAAACUGCUUUUGUUUGGGAAUAAUCGACAUUACGUGUAAUGUUUUGCAUGUACCAUUCGAAUAAGGACCUGCUAAUUCCGUGCCAGCAGCCGCGGUAAUACGGAAGGUCCAGGCGUUAUCCGGAUUUAUUGGGUUUAAAGGGAGUGUAGGCGGUUGGUUAAGCGUGUUGUGAAAUGUAGAUGCUCAACAUCUGACUUGCAGCGCGAACUGGCUGACUUGAGUACACACAACGUAGGCGGAAUUCAUGGUGUAGCGGUGAAAUGCUUAGAUAUAUGGAGGAACACCGGUGGCGAAAGCGGCUCUCUGGUCUGUAACUGACGCUGAGGCUCGAAAGCGUGGGGAGCGAACAGG
Molecule: ribosomal RNA, 424 nt
Filed under: Verrucomicrobiota bacterium
Lineage: Bacteria; Pseudomonadati; Verrucomicrobiota
Description: Verrucomicrobia bacterium partial 16S ribosomal RNA
Rfam family: Bacterial small subunit ribosomal RNA
Source: RNAcentral